Molecule: ribosomal RNA, 459 nt
Filed under: uncultured bacterium
Lineage: Bacteria
Description: bacterial SSU rRNA
Rfam family: Bacterial small subunit ribosomal RNA
Source: RNAcentral
ACGAACGCUGGCGGCGUGCCUAACACAUGCAAGUCGAGCGGAGAUUGCAGUAAUGUAAUCUUAGCGGCGGACGGGUGAGUAACGCGUGGGCAACUUGCCUUAUACAGGGGGAUAACACUGGGAAACUAGUGCUAAUACCGCAUAAUACAAUUACAUGGCAUCAUGUGAUUGUCAAAGGAGUAAUCCGGUAUGAGAUGGGCCCGCGUCCGAUUAGCUAGUUGGUAGGGUAAAGGCUUACCAAGGCGACGAUCGGUAGCCGAACUGAGAGGUUGAUCGGCCACAUUGGGACUGAGACACGGCCCAGACUCCUACGGGAGGCAGCAGUGGGGAAUAUUGCGCAAUGGGGGAAACCCUGACGCAGCAACGCCGCGUGAAGGAUGAAGGUUUUCGGAUUGUAAACUUCUUUGAUUGGGGACGAAUAAUGACGGUACCCAAAAAACAAGCCACGGCUAACUACGU